GUUGAAGCUCAACUCUCUCUUUCACCUCCAUCUUUUUCCUCUCAAUCUCUUCUUCCUUGGCUUGGAAUGAGGAAAUGGCCAAUUUCGAAACCUCCUCAUCCUCAUGCUCUUCUGUUGAUAGCCUCCCACUGCUUCCAACACUCCCAAGGUUCUUCAUUUUCUGCAUUUUGUCUCUGUUCCUGCAAACUAGGCACAUAUGUUUCCACAAAACUUAUUCAGCUGCUUUAUGGUGUUUAUUUCAGGGAGAGAGGUUUGUUUUGCUUUCACUUCAAUGUUCCUUCUAUUCUAUUCUAUCCAUCUCAACCACUGGUUUUCUCUUGACUUCUAAAAGCAGUAAAGAGACUCCCAUGAGCUUUAUGAGAAACUGUUAUAGAAAUUUUGGAUUUGGAUG
Molecule: long non-coding RNA, 391 nt
Filed under: Lotus japonicus
Lineage: Eukaryota; Viridiplantae; Streptophyta; Magnoliopsida; Fabales; Fabaceae
Description: long non-coding RNA (LJAP_LNC002079)
Source: RNAcentral